AGGAGUACCUCAACAAACAACAACUCCACGAAGCUCGAUGGACUGAGCAAGCGGCGAGGAGUCGUCGUAUGAUCUCGCUUGAGAGAAUGCAUUGGUGGAUGCAUUGCGAGAUCAAGUGGGGGAGUGACCCAAAGCAACUUAAAUGAAGGCACACUUGGAGUCGAAGUGGAGAUCGGACUCAAGGGAGGGCUGACCCGUGGAAUGGUGGGCGCGAGGGCCACCAUCAAC
This 228-nucleotide long non-coding RNA is filed under the name Musa acuminata (dwarf banana). Its description in RNAcentral is "long non-coding RNA (MACU_LNC007303)". The record is from RNAcentral. Lineage: Eukaryota; Viridiplantae; Streptophyta; Magnoliopsida; Zingiberales; Musaceae.